CUGUAUCCAACAUCAGAGAAAUAAUUUCUUACAGCAUUUAUAAUCCUAUAUUAAAGCAAAAAAAUAAAUUCUUAUUAUCAUUUGGAAGUUAAAAUAUAAGCAUGUUAACAGAAUAUGCAAGAUCAACUGACCUUUUGUCUGUCAAACAUGAAGAUGAAUGGCUUCUCAUCACUUCCUCUAUUAAUACAGUCCUAUAGAUUCUCAACUAUAGAAAAUGCUAAAGGAAAAAUUCUUCAUUAUAAUCUAGAACUAUUACUGUUAAAAACAUAUCCAAAUAUUGUCCCUUCAAAUGACAGCCAUUAAUACCAUUCAAUGGUCUAUAACCCUUUAAGAAUCUUUUUUUAAUUGCAUUAAAUAUAAUAAAUAUUCUCUUGAAAAAUUAAUGGAUCAUUAUCCCUUUCCCUUAUCUCCGAUUGAACCUUAACCAUAGUACCGGGAUUAUGCAUCCUGAGAUAAUAAACAUACCUAUUAAGCUUCUUAUAAUUUUAUGUGUGUUCACUAAAGUUUGUGACUUUUGCUAAGCAUCUUGCUCUAUAUAAUUGCCAGUUGGAGCAUCUAGCCCGCAUUUUUGCAUUAAAUUAUGAUUCAUUAACUCAUAAACAUUUAUGAAUCAGCCCUAAAAGAAUCCAUAAGUUAAUCUGCUAUCCAUUUUAUAGUUGUAUUACUAUUCCUAUUGUCAAUGGGUCUAAUGCAAGUAUGCUCCUCAUGCAAUAUUUUCACUGUUUAUCUGCUAACCUAGAUGCAUGCAACUUCAGCCCUCAGUUGAACAUUUCUCUGUGGCUCUUAAAUUUUUAUUCUUUAAUCUUUUAAUUUCAUAUCCCCUUUCACUGCAUAAUCUCUAAUAGUAGCUCUAAACAGAUUAAAAUCUCCAAAAACUUGACCAAUUCUGAAACUCAUUUCCUCUCUUCUACUCUGGAUAUAUUGAUCAUCAUACAUGCCAUGAAAGUGUUCAUGGUAACUAUCAUUUUUAGGAGGCUAAGAAACAUUUACACCUUCUUCUUCACCAUUACCUAUGUCAGACAUGUGCUCAUUUGAUUCAAUAUGAAACUUAUCAAUCAGUCUAUCUUCAUCUCCUUUUGAUUCAGAACUAGAGUUGCCAUCUAAUCAUCAUUAUCAUCAGACUCGAAAAAUUCAAACUUACUAAUUGUAGUUAUAACAUCCUUUUUAUCUUGUACUCUCACACUAUCUCCUCUCAUUCUUCCCCUAAAAGUGUUUGUACCAUCCCUUCUCACCCUUUAAGUCAACCUUUGAGUACUAAUAGAGUCUCUCCCAAUAGACUCAGAACUCAUAUUACUAUUUCUAGAAAUAUUCUCAUGAUACUCAGAGUCUACUCCUGCAGCUUGAUCAUCAAUCCCAACACCCUUAAAACCUACCUUACAUCUUGAUCAGUCCCAACACCUUUAGAAUCUGUCCUUGCAUCUUGAUCAUCAAUCCUAAUUAAUAUCCUCAGAACCUAUCCCUAUAACCUGAUUAUCCUAAAAACCUGUCCUGUAACAUAAUCAUGAAUCUCAACACCCUCACAAUUCAUAUAUCAUGCUCUAUUUCUAUCUUAUCAUCCUCGCAAUUCAGUCUUAGAAGCCUCACAACCAAUCCCAGUAGUCUCACAAACAAUAUCAAUAUACUCACAACAAUUCACACUAACCUUGUCAACACUCACAAGACCCAUUAAACUCAUCACAAUAGCCUCAAAACCAUUGCCAAUACCUUGAGAACUAGACACCCUCUUAGUAAUGAUAUAACCCAUACUAGAAUCCUCAUAAACCAUGCUACUAAUACUAGAGAUACUCCCCAUUCCUCUGCAUACAUUAUUGUUAUCACUCUCCCCAUCUACAAGUAGUUAAACAUUAACAACAUAAGAUAAAGGAAUUAUAUUUAGAGUGAUCACAUGAUUGUUCUUGUACAAUUCUUGAAUUAGUAAUAAAUCCAUAUUAUUUUCAAUUGUCAACCCAUUAGAAGCCCUUAUAGUUACAAGUCUACCCCAAUAUGUAACAUCUUAUAAGCAUCACUCAUUAAGGCAAUGUAUGAAUAACCUUAAGCAUAUGCGUGCCUAAGUUCACCCUCUUACCCUUGGUACGUCAAGAUUAACAUAUAUACCACUCUACAAAUCGUAUUUUCCUAAUCCACUAAAAUCAAAAGCCCGAUUGUCAAUCACAUAUUUAUUUAAUAAAUACUGACAAAAACUCUAAUACAAAAAAAACCUAAAUCUUAAUAUUUAAAUUAACACUAUAUAAUAUAUCUACCGUAUAUAAUAUCCAAUAAACUUCACUUUCACACAUAAAUUAAUAAAAAAAAUAAUAACAAUGUCCCUUCAAUUACAAACAACUCACCUUUUGACAGAAAUGGUCCAUUAGCAACAACUAAUGUCUAUGUAAGAUAUGCUAAUGUGCGAAGGACAAACUUGAAUGGAACUCACUGUCGACAGAUUCUUGGUACAUUAGAUAUGAAUAUGUUUUUAAGUAAAAAAUAAAAAAAAAUAAAAGAUAAUAAAUAUUAAAUAAUAUUAUGAAUACUCUCUUAAUCAUGAUAUAAGUAACAUUAAAUACCGUACUCUCACAGGCUUAACCUUAGCCUAGUGGUAAGUACAUCUGAAUAAGUUUAA
RNAcentral lists this long non-coding RNA (2599 nucleotides) under Manihot esculenta (cassava). RNAcentral describes it as "long non-coding RNA (MESC_LNC001672)". Lineage: Eukaryota; Viridiplantae; Streptophyta; Magnoliopsida; Malpighiales; Euphorbiaceae. The record is from RNAcentral.